CAGAAUAUCUGAUAAAUUGAACAUUUUAGAAAUAUGAAUGAAAAUGCCAGAUACUAAUUAUUAUGGAUAUUUGUUCUGGUAUAAAAAAAAAAUGUUCAGAGAUACCAAUGCCCAAUGGUCAUUUUGUGUAUAACCAAAUGCAACAGUAUCUAUAGUGUAUAACUAAGAGGAAAUGUAAGGUAAACAUCAAUGAGACAUGCAGCAUCCCAACAAUGUAAUAAGCAAAAAGGCAUCUUACAUAAAAUCUUUGACAAUACGACAUUAUAACAUACCGGUAAUAUAACCACUGACAAUGUUUCUGUCUUUGAACAGGCAAGAUGAAUAUGUGGCAAGUUUGAUCUAGUUUUUGAGAUCUCAACCUUUAACAAUAGACUAGAUAACAG
This 383-nucleotide long non-coding RNA is filed under the name Mytilus galloprovincialis (Mediterranean mussel). Lineage: Eukaryota; Metazoa; Mollusca; Bivalvia; Mytilida; Mytilidae. The record is from RNAcentral.